RNAcentral lists this ribosomal RNA (440 nucleotides) under uncultured bacterium. Its description in RNAcentral is "partial 16S ribosomal RNA". It matches the Rfam family "Bacterial small subunit ribosomal RNA", at positions 338 to 795 of the family's 1533-position model. The record is from RNAcentral.
CCUACGGGAGGCAGCAGUGGGGAAUAUUGCACAAUGGGGGAAACCCUGAUGCAGCGACGCCGCGUGAGUGAAGAAGUAAUUCGUUAUGUAAAGCUCUAUCAGCAGGGAAGAAAAGGACGGUACCUGAGUAAGAAGCCCCGGCGAACUACGUGCCAGCAGCCGCGGUAAUACGUAGGGGGCAAGCGUUAUCCGGAUUUACUGGGUGUAAAGGGAGCGUAGACGGCAGUGCAAGUCUGGAGUGAAAGGCGGGGGCGCAACCCCCGGACUGCUCUGGAAACUGUACGGCUGGAGUGCAGGAGAGGUAAGUGGAAUUCCUCGUGUCGCGGUGAAAUGCGUAGAUAUUAGGAGGAACACCAGUGGCGAAGGCGGCUUACUGGACUGUACCUGACGUUGAGGCUCGAAAGCGUGGGGAGCAAACAGGAUUAGAUACCCCAGUAGUC